CUACGGGGGGCAGCAGUCGAGAAUCUUUUGCAAUGCGCGAAAGCGUGACAAUGCGACGCCGCGUGAGCGAUGAAGCCCUUCGGGGUGUAAAGCUCUGUCAGUCCGGAUGAAUAUUCGUUUUCUAAUACAGAACGGAGAUGACAGUACGGGCAGAGGAAGCCACGGCUAACUCCGUGCCAGCAGCCGCGGUAAUACGGAGGUGGCAAGCGUUGUUCGGAUUCAUUGGGUGUAAAGGGUAUGUAGGUGUCCUGAUCAGUCGGAUGUGAAAUCCCUUGGCUUAACCAAGGAACUGCGUCCGAUACUGUCAGGAUUGAGCGCGGAAGAGGAGAGUGGAAUUCCCGGUGUAAGGGUGAAAUCUGUAGAUAUCGGGAGGAACACCAGUGGCGAAAGCGGCUCUCUGGUCCGAUGCUGACACUGAAAUACGAAAGCAAGGGGAGCAAACAGGAUUAGAUACCCGUGUAGUC
This 464-nucleotide ribosomal RNA is filed under the name uncultured bacterium. RNAcentral describes it as "partial 16S ribosomal RNA". It matches the Rfam family "Bacterial small subunit ribosomal RNA", at positions 339 to 795 of the family's 1533-position model. The record is from RNAcentral.